UGAUAAUCACUUGAACUCUAUACGUGAUGU
RNAcentral lists this non-coding RNA (30 nucleotides) under Rattus norvegicus (Norway rat). The record is from RNAcentral. Lineage: Eukaryota; Metazoa; Chordata; Mammalia; Rodentia; Muridae.